Molecule: ribosomal RNA, 228 nt
Filed under: uncultured eukaryote
Lineage: Eukaryota
Description: partial 18S ribosomal RNA
Rfam family: Eukaryotic small subunit ribosomal RNA
Source: RNAcentral
AGAAAUCUCACCAGGCCCGGACACUGGAAGGAUUGACAGAUUGAUAGCUCUUCCUUGAUUCGGUGGGUGGUGUUGCAUGGCUGUUCUUAGUUGGUUGAGUGAUUUGUCUGGUUAAUUCCGUUAACGAACGAGACCUUAACCUGCUAAAUAGUGACGCGGUUCAUCGAACCGUGGGCCACUUCUUAGAGGGACUAUCGGAUUCAAACCGAUGGAAGUGUGAGGCAAUAA